RNAcentral lists this ribosomal RNA (254 nucleotides) under uncultured bacterium. Its description in RNAcentral is "partial 16S ribosomal RNA". It matches the Rfam family "Bacterial small subunit ribosomal RNA", at positions 524 to 776 of the family's 1533-position model. The record is from RNAcentral.
UACGGGGGGAGCAAGCGUUGUCCGGAGUUACUGGGCGUAAAGCGCGCGCAGGCGGCGGUGUUGGCCCGGCGUGAAAGCCCCCGGCUCAACCGGGGAGAGUCGUCGGGGACCGCACCGCUUGAGGGCGGUAGGGGCUGGUGGAAUGCCUGGUGUAGUGGUGAAAUGCGUAGAGAUCAGGCAGAACACCUGGGGCGAAGGCGGCCAGCGUGGGCCGUCCCUGACGCUGAGGCGCGAAGGCGUGGGGAGCGAACGGG